CACAAUAUAUCAGAUUCCUCUUAUUUAUCACCCACACCUAAAAAAUAAGUUAACAUUGAAAAAGGUAAGCUCUUCUUCUAUCCUGUAGUAUUAAUAAUGAUAAGAAAUAAUAUUUGGUAAUAGUAGUAAGAGACAACAGUAGUUUUAUAUCACAACCCAUGCGUUCAGCUGAAGAUUCAUCAGGAGCGUGCCUUUGCUGGCAGAAAACAUUGAUACUCUAGUCGUCCACGUAUAUAAUGGAUUCUGAGAAUAAUUCGAACCUCUGAUGGUGCUCUACUCACGCGGGGUCCUGUUCCGCUUUGUGGAGUGUGGACGCCAAUAGUGGCUGGUAUAGCAACCCGAAUCAUAAAAAGAAGGAAAGCCUGCGCAAUUUAAUAGUUAAAGUUUAUGAGCUUUUUCUCCACUUGUGUAUUUUAUGACUCUCGUGAAAAGGACCCAAAUUUUGAGGUGAAAAACGAAAUUAAAAAAAAAAACAAAACAGCAACGAAGAUUACUCACCAAAAGGCAUGCCCUUGCUCUACUUGCAAGAAUUCAAAAGCAGAAUAUAGGCUUCACUCGCACUCUUUCACACGUUUCCC
RNAcentral lists this long non-coding RNA (578 nucleotides) under Phaseolus vulgaris (common bean). RNAcentral describes it as "long non-coding RNA (PVUL_LNC001224)". The record is from RNAcentral. Lineage: Eukaryota; Viridiplantae; Streptophyta; Magnoliopsida; Fabales; Fabaceae.